Molecule: ribosomal RNA, 253 nt
Filed under: uncultured bacterium
Lineage: Bacteria
Description: partial 16S ribosomal RNA
Rfam family: Bacterial small subunit ribosomal RNA
Source: RNAcentral
UACGUAGGGUGCGAGCGUUAAUCGGAAUUACUGGGCGUAAAGCGCGCGUAGGCGGCUUUGUAAGUUAGAGGUGAAAGCCCGGGGCUCAACCCCGGAACUGCCUUUAAGACUGCAUCGCUUGAAUCCGGGAGAGGUGAGUGGAAUUCCGAGUGUAGAGGUGAAAUUCGUAGAUAUUCGGAAGAACACCAGUGGCGAAGGCGGCUCACUGGACCGGUAUUGACGCUGAGGUGCGAAAGCGUGGGGAGCAAACAGG